AGAGUUUGAUCCUGGCUCAGGAUGAACGCUAGCGGGAGGCUUAACACAUGCAAGUCGAGCGGUAUUGACCUUCGGGUCGAGAGAGCGGCGGACGGGUGAGUAACGCGUAUGCAACCUGCCUUAUGCAGGGGAAUAGCCCGGGGAAACCCGGAUUAAUACUCCAUAGAUCAGUAGUAUCGCAUGGUACGAUUGGUAAAGAUUUAUCGGCAUAAGAUGGGCAUGCGUCUGAUUAGCUAGUUGGUAGGGUAACGGCCUACCAAGGCGACGAUCAGUAGGGGUUCUGAGAGGAUUAACCCCCACACUGGUACUGAGACACGGACCAGACUCCUACGGGAGGCAGCAGUGAGGAAUAUUGGUCAAUGGGCGCAAGCCUGAACCAGCCAUCCCGCGUGAAGGAUGAAUGCCUUAUGGGUUGUAAACUUCUUUUGUACCUGAAGAAACUCUGGGUCGAGACCUGGACUGCCGGUAGGGUACGAAUAAGCAUCGGCUAACUCCGUGCCAGCAGCCGCGGUAAUACGGAGGAUGCAAGCGUUAUCCGGAUUUAUUGGGUUUAAAGGGUGCGCAGGUGGUUAAAUAAGUCAGUGGUGAAAGUCUGCCGCUUAACGGUAGGAUUGCCAUUGAUACUGUUUAACUUGAGUUUAGGUGAGGUAG
RNAcentral lists this ribosomal RNA (651 nucleotides) under bacterium enrichment culture clone F11 1.697-44. RNAcentral's name for it is "bacterial SSU rRNA". It matches the Rfam family "Bacterial small subunit ribosomal RNA", at positions 8 to 660 of the family's 1533-position model. The record is from RNAcentral.